UACGGAGGGUGCAAGCGUUGCUCGGAAUUACUGGGCGUAAAGCGCGUGUAGGCGGCCUUGUAUGUCUGGUGUGAAAGCCCCGGGCUCACCUCGGGAAGUGCACUGGAAACUGCAAGGCUAGAGUCUCGGAGAGGGAGGUGGAAUUCCAGGUGUAGCGGUGAAAUGCGUAGAUAUCUGGAAGAACACCGGUGGCGAAGGCGGCCUCCUGGACGAUGACUGACGCUGAGACGCGAAAGCGUGGGGAGCAAACAGG
Molecule: ribosomal RNA, 253 nt
Filed under: uncultured bacterium
Lineage: Bacteria
Description: partial 16S ribosomal RNA
Rfam family: Bacterial small subunit ribosomal RNA
Source: RNAcentral